UGGGAACGCGAAGAACCUUACCAGGUCUUGACAUCCUUUGACAAUCCUAGAGAUAGGACUUUCCCUUCGGGGACAAAGUGACAGGUGGUGCAUGGUUGUCGUCAGCUCGUGUCGUGAGAUGUUGGGUUAAGUCCCGCAACGAGCGCAACCCCUAUUGUUAGUUGCCAGCAUUCAGUUGGGCACUCUAAUGAGACUGCCGGUGACAAACCGGAGGAAGGUGGGGAUGACGUCAAAUCAUCAUGCCCCUUAUGACCUGGGCUACACACGUGCUACAAUGGAUGGUACAACGAGCAGCAAGACCGCGAGGUCAAGCGAAUCUCUUAAAGCCAUUCUCAGUUCGGAUUGCAGGCUGCAACUCGCCUGCAUGAAGCCGGAAUCGCUAGUAAUCGCGGAUCAGCACGCCGCGGUGAAUACGUUCCCGGGUCUUGUACACACCG
This 437-nucleotide ribosomal RNA is filed under the name uncultured bacterium. RNAcentral's name for it is "bacterial SSU rRNA". It matches the Rfam family "Bacterial small subunit ribosomal RNA", at positions 954 to 1392 of the family's 1533-position model. The record is from RNAcentral.